GGAGGAAAAGAAACCAACAGGGAUUGCCUCAGUAACGGCGAGUGAAGCGGCAAAAGCUCAAAUUUGAAAUCUGGCUCUUUCAGGGUCCGAGUUGUAAUUUGUAGAAGAUGCUUUGGGUGUGGCUCUGGUUUAAGUUCUUUGGAAUAUUACAUCAUAGAGGGUGAGAAUCCCGUAUGUGACCAGUCGCCGCGCCCGUGUAAAGCUCUUUCAACGAGUCGAGUUGUUUGGGAAUGCAGCUCAAAAUGGGAGGUAUAUUUCUUCUAAAGCUAAAUAUUGGCCAGAGACCGAUAGCGCACAAGUAGAGUGAUCGAAAGAUGAAAAGCACUUUGGAAAGAGAGUUAAACAGUACGUGAAAUUGUUGAAAGGGAAGCGCUUGCAACCAGACUUGCACGCAGUUGAUCAUCCGGUGUUCUCACCGGGGCACUCUGCUGCGUUCAGGCCAGCAUCGUUUUUGGUGGUUGGAUAAAGGCCUUGGGAAUGUAGCUUCUUUCGGGGAGUGUUAUAGCCCUCGGUGCAAUGCAGCCUACCGGGAACGAGGACCGCGCUUCGGCUAGGAUGCUGGCGUAAUGGUUGUAAGCGGCCCGU
RNAcentral lists this ribosomal RNA (585 nucleotides) under Tetracladium sp. J3. RNAcentral describes it as "eukaryotic LSU rRNA". It matches the Rfam family "Eukaryotic large subunit ribosomal RNA", at positions 52 to 652 of the family's 3401-position model. Lineage: Eukaryota; Fungi; Ascomycota; Leotiomycetes; Helotiales. The record is from RNAcentral.